RNAcentral lists this transfer RNA (77 nucleotides) under Actinobacteria bacterium ADurb.Bin346. Its description in RNAcentral is "tRNA-Arg". It matches the Rfam family "tRNA". Rfam says of the family: Transfer RNA (tRNA) molecules are approximately 80 nucleotides in length. Their secondary structure includes four short double-helical elements and three loops (D, anti-codon, and T loops). Lineage: Bacteria; Bacillati; Actinomycetota. The record is from RNAcentral. RNAcentral also lists the same sequence under 2 other names.
GCGCUUGUAGCUCAGUUGGAUAGAGCGACGGACUUCUAAUCCGUAGGUCGAAGGUUCGAAUCCUUUCAAGCGCGCCA